UACGAAGGGGGCUAGCGUUGCUCGGAAUCACUGGGCGUAAAGCGCACGUAGGCGGAUUGUUAAGUCAGGGGUGAAAUCCUGGAGCUCAACUCCAGAACUGCCUUUGAUACUGGCGAUCUCGAGUCCGGGAGAGGUGAGUGGAACUGCGAGUGUAGAGGUGAAAUUCGUAGAUAUUCGCAAGGACACCAGUGGCGAAGGCGGCUCACUGGCCCGGUACUGACGCUGAGGUGCGAAAGCGUGGGGAGCAAACAGG
Molecule: ribosomal RNA, 253 nt
Filed under: uncultured bacterium
Lineage: Bacteria
Description: partial 16S ribosomal RNA
Rfam family: Bacterial small subunit ribosomal RNA
Source: RNAcentral